Molecule: long non-coding RNA, 1352 nt
Filed under: Pogona vitticeps (central bearded dragon)
Lineage: Eukaryota; Metazoa; Chordata; Lepidosauria; Squamata; Agamidae
Description: lncRNA (ENSPVIG00000014790.1)
Source: RNAcentral
ACAGAGGUUUCUGCAGCUUAACCUGCAGUGCCACACGUCCACAUGCUCCUCUAGAUAUUUGACUAUAAAUCCCACCAUCCCAUACCAUUGGUUAAGCAGGCUAAGGUUGAUGGGGGUUGUAGUCCACCAGCAUCUGGAGGAUCAGAGCUUGUCCAUUCCUGCUUUGGUGGCCUUUUGUUAGGAUGGUGAUUUAUCAAUCAUCAAAAAGAAGGACACUUUUUUUUUAAAAAAAGGGAGGUACGAAAGAAGACACAGAGACACAUCACAUUUGCACCUGCUGAUUUAAAGACACAGAUGCAGAUUUCUCCCACAGAGCCAUUUUUGGCCAUUUCGUUAUGGCAUGGAGGUGACCCUGAUGUCUUAAAUGUGAUAUCUGUGGAGGAGAAGCAUUGGCAGUUCUUCUGAGCUGGUGGGCGACAUGGAGCCUUCCUGAAGAAUGUGAAUGCAUUUGGCCAUCCCUGCGCAAUGGCAGCACCUGUCGGUUGAUCCUUCAACUCCAGAACCACCCAUGAGAAGUGUUAGGAACACCAAGCAGAGUGCAUUGAAGACGAGAAACAGAAACAGAGGAGAGCGAGAAGAAAACAAAACACACAGCCAAUGAUUCACGGAAAAGAACAGUGGAAACAUUUCCAUUUCCAAUACUUUUUUGCAUCCCUUCCACAUGGACGUCUCUGAUACAAUCGUGUCAUUUUUCCCCCCACGUGUGAAUAAUCCUAUACCAUCAGUGGAUCUAUCAAGGUAGAAGAAGCAGGAAUUCAUCCAGCUGAAAGAUUUUAUUCAUCACAAUUCUAUCUCUGCCUUUGACUCACCCAACAGCCCUGUGAGGUAGCUGAGGAUAAGUGGGGGAUCGGAAUCUAGAUCUCGAUAAAGAUGAGUGGGGAUUGUACCUGGAUUUUCCUAAUCCUAUUCUGAAGGCCAAACUGGGUGUUAAUGCAGCUUGUGGUAAGAGGCAGUCAUUCUUUAUGUGCUGAAAGCUGCUUGUAAUCCCCCCCAAUUUUUCUGAUCUCUGGAGUCCGGUACGGAGAGGUGUCAAAUCAUCAUCAGCUUUCCUUGUGAGUUCUUCUUGGUUUUGCCAAACUUGUUCGGUCACCUGAAACUUGCUGGAAUGAAAUCCUUGGUUUCAGGUGUUUCCUUUGUUGAGGCUGUCCUGUUCAGGUUUUGCAUCGUGUUUUGUAUGGAUCUCGGCCUUCCGAAAUAGGAGAGGUUCUUGAUCUUGGGAAUGUUUUUCCUGCUAGAAAUGAAUGUUAAUAUUCUUGUCAUCAAGCAUUUCUUGUGUCUGUUUUUUUUGCUGGAUCCACAGCAUGCAAUCCAAGUGACAGUUUGCAAAGUAAAUAAAUCUCCUUGUUUUCCCA